GCUGAUAUAGCUCAGUUGGUAGAGCGCAUCCUUGGUAAGGAUGAGGUCCCCAGUUCGACUCUGGGUAUUAGCACCA
RNAcentral lists this transfer RNA (76 nucleotides) under Alcanivorax sp. RNAcentral's name for it is "tRNA-Thr". It matches the Rfam family "tRNA". Rfam says of the family: Transfer RNA (tRNA) molecules are approximately 80 nucleotides in length. Their secondary structure includes four short double-helical elements and three loops (D, anti-codon, and T loops). The record is from RNAcentral. RNAcentral also lists the same sequence under 5 other names. Lineage: Bacteria; Pseudomonadati; Pseudomonadota; Gammaproteobacteria; Oceanospirillales; Alcanivoracaceae.